GAGCUCCUCCCCACAUGGCAAUGUAAUUUCAGGGCUAGUAGAUUAUGAUGUUUUCAAGGCUACUAGAGAAGCCAAGCUAGAGGAAUGGCUGGUGGAGACUGCUGAUAAAUUGCGAGAUAAAUUGCCUCGAAGCAAAUGAUGCAGAGCCGUACUUCUUAUUUUGUAGACUGGAAUAGUGUGGCUUUUGUUGUGCAGUUUUUGAUCUAGGACUGAUAAUGUCAUUCAUUUGAUUCAUUGAAACAAAUUUUGUGGAUUUUCAUGCACAUAUAGUCUAAAGGCCUUGUUUAACUGCGAAGAGUUCGUUCGUUAAUGACGAGAAACUGAACUUACAUGUUGAAGAAUAAUCAUGUAGCAGGGUUUAUACUCUAUACACUAGAUUUGCAACCCUUCAUCCCAAAAGGCAAAAGAUGUCACAAUUCUGAUUAUACAUGCUGCGAAAAUAUCAGCACUUGUAUAGAUUACAGUUCCAGACUCGCUACCCAUACUUAAGUUGAAUCUCCCCCCUUCAGCUCCGAGUCGAGGAUACGAAUCCAUAACACAUGGCCAGUAGCAUUUAACGAUCACAGAUCUUCAACUGUAGUCAUUAGCGAGGAAGUUAUCUGACUACUGAGAAAAUGAUCGAAAGUUGGCAACCCUUAAUCGUUGAUCCUUGGAGUGCAAAAUCUCUGAAUGCUGAAUAACUCGCUAAAUCGUCAUUAGAAUCUUGGUGUCUCAGCAUUAUAGAGUUCUUUCCAGUUUUUCGAUCGACGGCAAGCAUUUGCAGUUCAGCACCGACUUCGAAACUCCAGUUGAACACGGUGCAUAUAUACCGCCUCAAUGGUCCUUCUCAGUUUCCAUCUCUCCCCGUGUUUCCUUUCAUUGGGUUUAAGUUCUAGUAUCUAGCAUCCUUCACGAUAGAAGUUCCUGAUAAUCGAGAUGCCGCCUAAGGGUUCAUAGCGGCAUGCAACAUUCAUCUGUUUGAAGGAACUUAGACGAGCAUUUUCUGGUUCCGAGCCUCUCUCUGAUUUUUCCAAGUACUCCAGGGCAACUUCAAUUGUUAAAAGACCAGCGAAGGUUCUUAUAACUGCUAGUUGACAGGAUCCAAGAGGAACUACAAUCUAUUGCGGUAUUUCUCUACACCAUGGAGGAAUUCCAUCCAUGGGCAGGACCUGCACCAUUUACAUCAAGUUCCUCAAAAUGAAAUCUAGGUGUCUGAAUUAAUGAACAAAUAUUGGUGGUAGUUAAAAUUUGUUACCUAAGCAGUAUGGCCUUUUGAACAUGCCAAACUUGCUCGUCUCCAAUGCUUUUUCAGGUGUUACCUUUAUACUCUGUGAUAAAAACAUGUAGGAGAAACAUUAACACAAGAUAUUAGUGAGGCAUAAAUUGACAAUGAGAAGCUAAAUAUUAUUUGUGUACAAACCUAUACCAUACAUUUCGCGGGGAGCCUGAUUCGCCGUUUUCAUUUCUACCGACACUUCUCCUGUUACC
Molecule: long non-coding RNA, 1467 nt
Filed under: Linum usitatissimum (flax)
Lineage: Eukaryota; Viridiplantae; Streptophyta; Magnoliopsida; Malpighiales; Linaceae
Description: long non-coding RNA (LUSI_LNC002282)
Source: RNAcentral